ACGGGGGCCCGCACAAGCGGUGGAGUAUGUGGUUUAAUUCGAAGCAACGCGAAGAACCUUACCAGGGCUUGACAUGGGGAUGACCGGACUAGAGAUAGUCUUUUCCCUUCGGGGACAUCCCACACAGGUGGUGCAUGGUUGUCGUCAGCUCGUGUCGUGAGAUGUUGGGUUAAGUCCCGCAACGAGCGCAACCCUUAUUGUUAGUUGCUACGCAAGAGCACUCUAGCGAGACUGCCGUUGACAAAACGGAGGAAGGUGGGGACGACGUCAAAUCAUCAUGCCCCUUAUGUCCUGGGCCACACACGUACUACAAUGGUGGUCAACAGAGGGAAGCAAUACCGCGAGGUGGAGCAAAUCCCUAAAAGCCAUCCCAGUUCGGAUCGCAGGCUGAAACCCGCCUGCGUGAAGUUGGAAUCGCUAGUAAUCGCGGAUCAGCAUGCCGCGGUGAAUACGUUCCCAGGCCUUGUACACACCGCCCGUCACACCAUGAGAGUCGGGAACACCCGAAGUCCGUAGUCUAACCGCAAGGGGGACGCGGCCGAAGGUGGGUUCGAUAAUUGGGGUGAAGUCGUAACAAGGUA
RNAcentral lists this ribosomal RNA (581 nucleotides) under uncultured bacterium. RNAcentral's name for it is "bacterial SSU rRNA". It matches the Rfam family "Bacterial small subunit ribosomal RNA", at positions 913 to 1498 of the family's 1533-position model. The record is from RNAcentral.